RNAcentral lists this long non-coding RNA (232 nucleotides) under Vitis vinifera (wine grape). RNAcentral's name for it is "long non-coding RNA (VVIN_LNC002410)". The record is from RNAcentral. Lineage: Eukaryota; Viridiplantae; Streptophyta; Magnoliopsida; Vitales; Vitaceae.
UUCUUCAUGUUUCUGAGCUUCCAAUUGCUUUGCCCAAGAUUCCAUAUAACUCUCCUCAAUCUCGGAUUGCUUUGGUGAUCAAAAGGCUAUCAAAACACCAAAACUUAACAUAAUUUGAUUAGAAUUGAUUACAAAGGUCCUUAACAUGUUAAUUGGGUUAAAAGGCCAAAAAUACUACUCAAAAGUGUUUAAAAGGAUUAAUUACAAGCUAUCAAAUAGCACUUUUUGAGUA